Molecule: ribosomal RNA, 253 nt
Filed under: uncultured bacterium
Lineage: Bacteria
Description: partial 16S ribosomal RNA
Rfam family: Bacterial small subunit ribosomal RNA
Source: RNAcentral
UACGUAGGGUGCGAGCGUUGUCCGGAAUUACUGGGCGUAAAGAGCUCGUAGGUGGUUUGUCGCGUUGUUCGUGAAAACUCACAGCUUAACUGUGGGCGUGCGGGCGAUACGGGCAGACUGGAGUACUGCAGGGGAGACUGGAAUUCCUGGUGUAGCGGUGGAAUGCGCAGAUAUCAGGAGGAACACCGGUGGCGAAAGCGGCGCGCUGGACCUCUACUGACGCUGAGGCGCGAAAGCCAGGGGAGCGAACGGG